UGGGGAAUAUUGGACAAUGGGCGCAAGCCUGAUCCAGCCAUGCCGCGUGAGUGAUGAAGGCCCUAGGGUUGUAAAGCUCUUUCACCGGUGAAGAUAAUGACGGUAACCGGAGAAGAAGCCCCGGCUAACUUCGUGCCAGCAGCCGCGGUAAUACGAAGGGGGCUAGUGUUGUUCGGAUUUACUGGGCGUAAAGCGCACGUAGGCGGACUUUUAAGUCAGGGGUGAAAUCCCGGGGCUCAACCCCGGAACUGCCUUUGAUACUGGAAGUCUUGAGUAUGGUAGAGGUGAGUGGAAUUCCGAGUGUAGAGGUGAAAUUCGUAGAUAUUCGGAGGAACACCAGUGGCGAAGGCGGCUCACUGGACCAUUACUGACGCUGAGGUGCGAAAGCGUGGGGAGCAAACAGG
RNAcentral lists this ribosomal RNA (404 nucleotides) under Pseudomonas sp. Its description in RNAcentral is "partial 16S ribosomal RNA". It matches the Rfam family "Bacterial small subunit ribosomal RNA", at positions 355 to 776 of the family's 1533-position model. RNAcentral also lists the same sequence under 2 other names. The record is from RNAcentral. Lineage: Bacteria; Pseudomonadati; Pseudomonadota; Gammaproteobacteria; Pseudomonadales; Pseudomonadaceae.